UACGUAGGUGGCAAGCGUUAUCCGGAUUUACUGGGUGUAAAGGGCGCGUAGGCGGGAGCGCAAGUCAGAUGUGAAAACUAUGGGCUUAACCCAUAGCCUGCAUUUGAAACUGUGUUUCUUGAGUGCCGGAGAGGUUGACGGAAUUCCGUGUGUAGCGGUGAAAUGCGUAGAUAUACGGAAGAACACCAGUGGCGAAGGCGGUCAACUGGACGGUAACUGACGCUGAGGCGCGAAAGCGUGGGGAGCAAACAGG
This 253-nucleotide ribosomal RNA is filed under the name uncultured prokaryote. Its description in RNAcentral is "partial 16S ribosomal RNA". It matches the Rfam family "Bacterial small subunit ribosomal RNA", at positions 524 to 776 of the family's 1533-position model. The record is from RNAcentral.